Molecule: ribosomal RNA, 537 nt
Filed under: uncultured Phaeobacter sp.
Lineage: Bacteria; Pseudomonadati; Pseudomonadota; Alphaproteobacteria; Rhodobacterales; Roseobacteraceae
Description: bacterial SSU rRNA
Rfam family: Bacterial small subunit ribosomal RNA
Source: RNAcentral
UCGAGCGCUACCUUCGGGUGGAGCGGCGGACGGGUUAGUAACGCGUGGGAAUAUACCCUUCACUAUGGAAUAGCCUCGGGAAACUGAGAGUAAUACCAUAUACGCCCUUCGGGGGAAAGAUUUAUCGGUGAAGGAUUAGCCCGCGUAAGAUUAGAUAGUUGGUGGGGUAAUGGCCUACCAAGUCUACGAUCUUUAGCUGGUUUUAGAGGAUGAUCAGCAACACUGGGACUGAGACACGGCCCAGACUCCUACGGGAGGCAGCAGUGGGGAAUCUUAGACAAUGGGCGAAAGCCUGAUCUAGCCAUGCCGCGUGAGUGAUGAAGGUCUUAGGAUCGUAAAGCUCUUUCGCUAGGGAUGAUAAUGACAGUACCUAGUAAAGAAGCCCCGGCUAACUCCGUGCCAGCAGCCGCGGUAAUACGGAGGGGGCUAGCGUUGUUCGGAAUUACUGGGCGUAAAGCGUACGUAGGCGGUUUGUUAAGUGUGAUGUGAAAGCCCAGGGCUCAACCUUGGAACUGCAUCACAUACUGGCAAGCUAGA